AACGAACGCUGGCGGCAUGCCUAACACAUGCAAGUCGAACGAAGCCUUCGGGCUUAGUGGCGCACGGGUGCGUAACGCGUGGGAAUCUGCCCUUGGGUUCGGAAUAACAGUUAGAAAUGACUGCUAAUACCGGAUGAUGUCUUCGGACCAAAGAUUUAUCGCCCAAGGAUGAGCCCACGUAGGAUUAGGUAGUUGGUGGGGUAAUGGCACACCAAGCCGACGAUCCUUAGCUGGUCUGGGAGGAUGAUCAGCCGCACUGGGACUGAGACACGGCCCAGACUCCUACGGGAGGCAGCAGUGGGGAAUAUUGGACAAUGGGCGAAAGCCUGAUCCAGCAAUGCCGCGUGAGUGAUGAAGGCCUUAGGGUUGUAAAGCUCUUUUACCAGGGAUGAUAAUGACAGUACCUGGAGAAUAAGCUCCGGCUAACUCCGUGCCAGCAGCCGCGGUAA
RNAcentral lists this ribosomal RNA (449 nucleotides) under uncultured bacterium. RNAcentral's name for it is "partial 16S ribosomal RNA". It matches the Rfam family "Bacterial small subunit ribosomal RNA", at positions 29 to 523 of the family's 1533-position model. The record is from RNAcentral.